UGGUGGAGGAGGCGGCUCUUUUUUUUCGGUCCAGAUUCACGGUUAUGGUGGUCCUUUUAUACUCACCCUGUUAGGGUUUUUGAGUUGGCUACGGAGAUCAAAAGGGGUAUCCCCUUGGAAGUCCUUUAAGGUGCUCCAGUUUGUCUACCUUAUUUGGCGUUUGAUCUGGAAAAGGUAACAUGAAUCCUAUACUUUCUUCUUUUGAAUUUGUCU
This 213-nucleotide long non-coding RNA is filed under the name Lathyrus oleraceus (garden pea). RNAcentral describes it as "Pisum sativum (pea) long non-coding RNA (PSAT_LNC015492)". The record is from RNAcentral. Lineage: Eukaryota; Viridiplantae; Streptophyta; Magnoliopsida; Fabales; Fabaceae.